RNAcentral lists this long non-coding RNA (215 nucleotides) under Gallus gallus (chicken). Lineage: Eukaryota; Metazoa; Chordata; Aves; Galliformes; Phasianidae. The record is from RNAcentral.
GCUCCGUCAUGCUCAGGCACAGGGACUCCAGCCUGUUGUUGAUGUCAGGUUCAGUCACCGGCACCUGGAACUCUGGCUGCUGGAACAUCAGCAUGGUCUGCGGGGAGGUGUGCACCGGCAGCGAGCGCGUCCUCUGCACUGAGCUGUGGCUCCGGCUGGGCAUGCUGUUGCUGCCCCCUGGGUUGGCAAACCAGAGGUUCUGUCUGCCUUGCUUG